This 496-nucleotide ribosomal RNA is filed under the name uncultured bacterium. Its description in RNAcentral is "partial 16S ribosomal RNA". It matches the Rfam family "Bacterial small subunit ribosomal RNA", at positions 28 to 507 of the family's 1533-position model. The record is from RNAcentral.
GAUGAACGCUGGCGGCGUGCCUAAUACAUGCAAGUCGAGCGAACAGACGAGGAGCUUGCUCCUCUGACGUUAGCGGCGGACGGGUGAGUAACACGUGGAUAACCUACCUAUAAGACUGGGAUAACUUCGGGAAACCGGAGCUAAUACCGGAUAAUAUAUUGAACCGCAUGGUUCAAUAGUGAAAGACGGUUUUGCUGUCACUUAUAGAUGGAUCCGCGGCGCAUUAGCUAGUUGGUAAGGUAACGGCUUACCAAGGCAACGAUGCGUAGCCGACCUGAGGGGGGGUAGGCCGCCCCGGAAGGGGACAGGCCACCCUGGCACUGAGGGACGGCCGCGACAGGUAAUGGACGCAAAAGGGGGAAAUCUUGCCGGAGCAACGCCGGGGUGGUGCAGAGACGCCUCGGGAGGGAAAACGGUCUUCUGGGGGAAAAACAAUUUUAGAAGGAAAGAAGCGAGAGUGACGGGACCUUAAUAAGAAGCGCCGGCUAACUACGUG